AUUGAACGCUGGCGGCAGGCCUAACACAUGCAAGUCGAACGGUAACAGGAAGAAGCUUGCUUCUUUGCUGACGAGUGGCGGACGGGUGAGUAAUGUCUGGGAAACUGCCUGAUGGAGGGGGAUAACUACUGGAAACGGUAGCUAAUACCGCAUAACGUCGCAAGACCAAAGAGGGGGACCUUCGGGCCUCUUGCCAUCGGAUGUGCCCAGAUGGGAUUAGCUAGUAGGUGGGGUAACGGCUCACCUAGGCGACGAUCCCUAGCUGGUCUGAGAGGAUGACCACCCCACCUGGAACUGAGACACGGUCCAGACCCCUACGGGGGGCAGCGUGGGGGAAUUUUGAAAAAUGGGGGAAAGCCUGAUGCAGCCAGGCCGGGUGUAUGAAGAAGGCCUUCGGGUUGUAAAGUCCUUUCAGGGGGGAGGAAGGGAGUAAAGUUAAUACCUUUGCCCCCGGACGUUCCCCGCAGAAGAAGCACCGGCUAACCCCGG
Molecule: ribosomal RNA, 489 nt
Filed under: uncultured bacterium
Lineage: Bacteria
Description: partial 16S ribosomal RNA
Rfam family: Bacterial small subunit ribosomal RNA
Source: RNAcentral